RNAcentral lists this ribosomal RNA (578 nucleotides) under Hepatozoon canis. Its description in RNAcentral is "SSU rRNA". It matches the Rfam family "Eukaryotic small subunit ribosomal RNA", at positions 248 to 819 of the family's 1831-position model. The record is from RNAcentral. Lineage: Eukaryota; Apicomplexa; Hepatozoidae.
GAUUUAUAAUAACUUAGCAAAUCGCAAAGUGAAAACAGGCGAUAAAUCAUUCAAGUUUCUGACCUAUCAGCUUUCGACGGUAUGGUAUUGGCUUACCGUGGCAGUGACGGUUAACGGGGGAUUAGGGUUCGAUUCCGGAGAGGGAGCCUGAGAAACGGCUACCACAUCUAAGGAAGGCAGCAGGCGCGCAAAUUACCCAAUUCUAACAGUUUGAGAGAGGUAGUAACAAGAAAUAACAAUACAAGGCAGUUAAAAUGCUUUGUAAUUGGAAUGAUAGAAAUUUAAACCCUUUUUAAAGUAUCAAUUGGAGGGCAAGUCUGGUGCCAGCAGCCGCGGUAAUUCCAGCUCCAAUAGCGUAUAUUAAAAUUGUUGCAGUUAAAAAGCUCGUAGUUGAAGUUCUGCUGAAAGUAACCGGUCUGCUUUUAAUAAAAGUGGUAUCUUGGUAUGUAUUUAGCAAUGAUGUCCUUUGAAGUGUUUUUUACUUUAUUGUAAUAAAGCAUAUUCAGGACUUUUACUUUGAAAAAAUUAGAGUGUUUCUAGCAGGCUAACGCUUUGAAAUACUGCAGCAUGGAAUAAUA